This 253-nucleotide ribosomal RNA is filed under the name uncultured bacterium. RNAcentral describes it as "partial 16S ribosomal RNA". It matches the Rfam family "Bacterial small subunit ribosomal RNA", at positions 524 to 776 of the family's 1533-position model. The record is from RNAcentral.
UACGGAGGGGGUUAGCGUUGUUCGGAAUUACUGGGCGUAAAGCGCGCGUAGGCGGACCAGAAAGUUGGGGGUGAAAUCCCGGGGCUCAACCCCGGAACGGCCUCCAAAACUCCUGGUCUUGAGUUCGAGAGAGGAGAGUGGAAUUCCGAGUGUAGAGGUGAAAUUCGUAGAUAUUCGGAGGAACACCAGUGGCGAAGGCGGCUCACNGGCUCGAUACUGACGCUGAGGUGCGAAAGUGUGGGGANCAAACCUG